UACGAAGAGGGCUAGCGUUGCUCGGAAUUACUGGGCGUAAAGCGCACGUAGGCGGCUUCUUAAGUCGGUGGUGAAAUCCUGGAGCUCAACUCCAGAACUGCCUUCGAUACUGGGAGAGCUCGAGUCCGGGAGAGGUGAGUGGAACUGCGAGUGUAGAGGUGAAAUUCGUAGAUAUUCGCAAGAACACCAGUGGCGAAGGCGGCU
RNAcentral lists this ribosomal RNA (204 nucleotides) under uncultured bacterium. RNAcentral describes it as "partial 16S ribosomal RNA". It matches the Rfam family "Bacterial small subunit ribosomal RNA", at positions 524 to 726 of the family's 1533-position model. The record is from RNAcentral.